AAAUUGAAGAGUUUGAUCAUGGCUCAGAUUGAACGCUGGCGGCAGGCCUAACACAUGCAAGUCGAGCGGAAACGAGUUAUCAGAACCUUCGGGGGACGAUAACGGCGUCGAGCGGCGGACGGGUGAGUAAUGCCUAGGAAAUUGCCCUGAUGUGGGGGAUAACCAUUGGAAACGAUGGCUAAUACCGCAUGAUGCCUACGGGCCAAAGAGGGGGACCUUCGGGCCUCUCGCGUCAGGAUAUGCCUAGGUGGGAUUAGCUAGUUGGUGAGGUAAGGGCUCACCAAGGCGACGAUCCCUAGCUGGUCUGAGAGGAUGAUCAGCCACACUGGAACUGAGACACGGUCCAGACUCCUACGGGAGGCAGCAGUGGGGAAUAUUGCACAAUGGGCGCAAGCCUGAUGCAGCCAUGCCGCGUGUGUGAAGAAGGCCUUCGGGUUGUAAAGCACUUUCAGUCGUGAGGAAGGUGGUGUAG
Molecule: ribosomal RNA, 472 nt
Filed under: Vibrio alginolyticus
Lineage: Bacteria; Pseudomonadati; Pseudomonadota; Gammaproteobacteria; Vibrionales; Vibrionaceae
Description: bacterial SSU rRNA
Rfam family: Bacterial small subunit ribosomal RNA
Source: RNAcentral